ACGGGUGAGUAAUACAUCGGAACGUGUCCUGUAGUGGGGGAUAGCCCGGCGAAAGCCGGAUUAAUACCGCAUACGCUCUACGGAGGAAAGGGGGGGAUCUUAGGACCUCCCGCUACAGGGGCGGCCGAUGGCAGAUUAGCUAGUUGGUGGGGUAAAGGCCUACCAAGGCGACGAUCUGUAGCUGGUCUGAGAGGACGACCAGCCACACUGGGACUGAGACACGGCCCAGACUCCUACGGGAGGCAGCAGUGGGGAAUUUUGGACAAUGGGGGCAACCCUGAUCCAGCAAUGCCGCGUGUGUGAAGAAGGCCUUCGGGUUGUAAAGCACUUUUGUCCGGAAAGAAAACGCCGUGGUUAAUACCCGUGGCGGAUGACGGUACCGGAAGAAUAAGCACCGGCUAACUACGUGCCAGCAGCCGCGGUAAUACGUAGGGUGCAAGCGUUAAUCGGAAUUACUGGGCGUAAAGCGUGCGCAGGCGGUCCGCUAAGACAGAUGUGAAAUCCCCGGGCUUAACCUGGGAACUGCAUUUGUGACUGGCGGGCUAGAGUAUGGCAGAGGGGGGUAGAAUUCCACGUGUAGCAG
Molecule: ribosomal RNA, 583 nt
Filed under: uncultured Burkholderia sp.
Lineage: Bacteria; Pseudomonadati; Pseudomonadota; Betaproteobacteria; Burkholderiales; Burkholderiaceae
Description: bacterial SSU rRNA
Rfam family: Bacterial small subunit ribosomal RNA
Source: RNAcentral